RNAcentral lists this ribosomal RNA (790 nucleotides) under Hypoderma sinense. RNAcentral describes it as "12S ribosomal RNA". The record is from RNAcentral. Lineage: Eukaryota; Metazoa; Arthropoda; Insecta; Diptera; Oestridae.
AUAAAGUUUUAUUUUGGCUUAUUAAUUUAUUGUUAAUUUAAUUUAUAUGUAAGUUUUUGCAUGAAUUUAUAUUUAUUUUAAAAGUAAUUAUAGUUUAUUAUAUAUUCGCAGUAAUUGAUAUUAUUAAUUAAAGAAAUUUAGAAAUAGUAAUAUUAAAGAGUAUUGAUAAAAUUUGUGCCAGCAAUCGCGGUUAUACGAAUAAUGCAAAUAAAUUUUAUUAGUUAAAGUUAAAUUGUUGUUAUUAUUAAAUAUUAGUAAAUUUAUUAAGUGAAAUUUUAAAUUUAUUAAUUUUAUAAAGAAAUAUGUUGAAGCUUAAAAAUUUUUUUGAUAAACUAGGAUUAGAUACCCUAUUAUUAAAAAUGUAAGUUUGUAAACUGAGGUAGUAUUAGUUAUGAUCUUGAAACUUAAAAAAUUUGGCGGUAUUUUAGUCUAUUCAGAGGAACCUGUUCUGUAAUCGAUAAUCCACGAUGGACCUUACUUAGAUUUGUGAUCAGUUUAUAUACCGUUGUUGUUAAAAUAUUUUAUAAGAAUGAUAAUUUUUGUAAUUUUUUAUUAAAAAAUAUAUCAGAUCAAGGUGUAGCUUAUGUUUAAGUAGAAAUGGGUUACAAUAAAUUUAUUUAUAUGGAUAUAAAUUUGAAAUGUUUAUUGAAGGUGGAUUUGAAAGUAAAAUUAUAGAGAUUAAUAAUUUGAUUUUAGCUCUAAAAUAUGUACACAUCGCCCGUCACUCUUAUUAUUAAGAUAAGAUAAGUCGUAACAUAGUAGAUGUACUGGAAAGUGUAUCUAGAAUGCA